UACGUAGGGGCCAAGCGUUGUCCGGAUUUAUUGGGCGUAAAGAGCUCGUAGGCGGUUCGGCAAGUCAGCUGUGAAAUCUCCACGCUCAACGUGGAGGGGUCAGCUGAUACUGCUGUGACUCGAGUCCGGUAGGGGAGUGUGGAAUUCCCGGUGUAGCGGUGAAAUGCGCAGAUAUCGGGAGGAACACCAAUGGCGAAGGCAGCUCGCUGGGACGGUACUGACGCUGAGGCGCGAAAGCGUGGGGAGCAAACAGGG
This 255-nucleotide ribosomal RNA is filed under the name uncultured bacterium. RNAcentral's name for it is "partial 16S ribosomal RNA". It matches the Rfam family "Bacterial small subunit ribosomal RNA", at positions 524 to 777 of the family's 1533-position model. The record is from RNAcentral.